CGCGCACAAAAUCAGGGUCGUCCAUCUCCCCCAGACUCCAGCUCGGCCGCCACAGCUGCCUCACCCCGUGCCACUACACCAACCGUGCGGCCGUCCCACUACUCGGUUUGGUUACAAGGAAUGCAAAAACCCACGUCUUGUUCACCGAGAAAAGGCCUGACUAUUGAGCUGGCCCAUUAGCAAAGGCAUUGCCAAAACAACAAAAUGGACAACAUCGAGUUCCCAUGUCGGACAUCAUCAGAGCCCAAGUUACAAAAGCACCAUUUUCUGCACCUAGCUAACGCCAACACAACAGGCACAUGAGUCCACCAAUGGCCAUCGCUGCAUGGGUAAGGUUCUCUAGAACAACACCCCCAUGAAGGACGCGACGUGAAACGCCGUCAUUGCUCGUCCAGAAACAUAAUCAAGUUAUUUCCUCCCCGCACGCACUCCCGCACUCACGCACGUAUGCCCGGUUCCCACGCACUCCUCCCCUCCUCGGCGGUAGCGGGCGUCGGCAGGCGGCAGCGGCAGCUGGAGGGAAGGAGGCAUGCAGUGGCGCACGAGGGGGGAGGCAGCGGCGCUCUCCCCUCCCAGAUCCGGCGGUGGCGGGCUCGGGAGGGGCCGUUCGUGGGCGGGAGCGGCGCCGGGGGGCUAAGGUGUGGACACCCCGAGUAUUAUACCAUCCAGUGUCCAACGCGACCACCACAUAUUAUUGGAGAAGUGGGAUCCAUACACGCAUAAAUAGCCAUUCGUCCUCAAUGUGUCCAUGAUCGCGGUUGACAACCUUCUGUUAUAAUAACCGGAAUGUCGAGUAGUGAGCGCAAGACAUAACUGUAAGAUAGCUUGCCAGUCCACUCUGUCAUAUGCCUGUCAACCACUCGAAGGUGGCGACCAAAAGCAUACCCCAGUGACUCGAUCCAAAGUGCUAUCCCCGAUUAUCUCAAGCGAUCAAAACCCGUUACUCAUGCUUAGCUAGUCCCCAGGAAUGCGACUAGCCUCACACUUUUAUCGCAAGCAAUUAAUAAACAUAGCAAGUACCAUAAUAGGGUUAAAGUGCAGUGAGGUACAUGACACAUAAUAGGGUCCAAGGUCCCAACAUACAACACAUAAAUAUAGCAGCGGAAGUCUCAAAUAGAGUUCAUAAGCAAAAGAUAAAACCGGUGGUGCCACAAUCCCACUAGGGCAAACCAACCGGGUAAGAGCCAAGCUGCAAGAGGUCACUCAUUGCCCUCGUCGCCCUCGGCAGAGCAAUGACCACACAAGAAGUAUAACUCAUAACCGGAAUCCUCUCCUGAAAUUGCAGACACCGGGUUAAGUACAAGAUUGUACUCGCAAGUCUUACCCAAAAUUGUAUAUACAUAAGGGAGAGAGAAGUAUGCAAGCUUUCUAGCCUAUAGUGGGUCUCUAGGUUCAACAUUUGCAUAAAGCUAAUUUUUGUAAGCAAUUAAUGAGUAAAAUAAGCAAGGACAAGUAAAUCUAGCAUCAUUUUAAUUUAUGGACAGUAAGUAUAUAAUUCUGAAAUGUAUAAGCAAAUGAGCCCAAACGGCACUCUCAUCAUCAACCAUGGACCACCAAAGUCCAUACCAACAUGGCACAAUAUGCCAACACCACCAUCAAACAUAAUCCCAUCCAUAAUAAUCCACAUUUGAUGCUAACAUAACUGACUAACACAUCAAGCAUUGUCCAUAACCGAGGACACGACUAUUCGAAUAGAUUAUACUCUGAUCAGAGGUGUACAACUGGACCCACACGAAAUGAACAAGGAUCAAAAGCUACACACCCCGACGAGUGCGGUACACGAGUGAUACAAGCUCAUUACAUGCCUUUCCUAAUCCCACCCCAACCAUCUAUACCACGUCGGGGUUCCCGACGACUCAGUCACGUGCGUGCAUGAUGUGACCAAGGCGGGCGCGCCACGCGGGAGGCACCCCCGGCCAAACCUAGGCACCCGAGGCCCUCCAAAGGCUACCUGCCUCACGACUCUCCAACGUGGUAUAAAUGAUCACAGUAGAACUAGUAAGAACAAGCCGGUCCCAAAUAAGACAUGUGGUAAGUACGUAAGAUGCUUGAUUAGAUGUCAAAAUGUUCGGUCCUUAACGACCUAGACGAGGCUACUUGCAUCAGGGGAAACCAACCUCCCAUCAUCGUCCUAUCACCCGUCCAAGUCCAACAUAUUUUAUCAACCAUUAUUUAGUGUAAGUGCUCAAGUUUUAUGCCCAAUAAUGCAAGUUGUCUAUAUACCACAAUUAAUAGCACUGUCCAUCCCUAUAGUUCUAUUAACACUAAGCAUGGCUAAGCAUUAAUGAAUAAGACGUCCCAAGUAAUCCCAACUAGUGGUAAUAGGGUAUAAGGACAACAAUAUCACAAGAACUAAAUGCAUAAAUAGGUUCUACCCAUACACCAUAAACCGACAAUAUUAAUAUCUAGGCAAUGCAUGCAUAUAUAUACGUAUAGAUUGCAACCAAAUCCUUUUUAGAGAAAGCAUAGGUUCUAUAUGCUAAGGUGCUUGCCUUGCUGCUGAGGGUAGUAACUAUCCUCCUUGGGAUAUGGCUCGUUACUCUCCGGAAUCUCCGAAUCUAUCGAAAAGAAGCAAUAUGCGAAUAACAGCCAAGUAAACAUGCACAUGUAAAAUGAUCAAUAAAUUAUGAAUAAAUACAGUGGGUAGAUCAUAUUUUAACUUGAAUUUAGGUGAAAGAAUCAUCAGAUUAUCACUUAUGGUUUGGGAGAUAUGAAAAUGACAAGAUCUCAGGUGCUGAAAAUGGCAGUUCUGAAAAUUUUAGUGUUUCCUUUAGAGCAUUACAAGCAACUUGCAACUCAAACCAAGUUUUCAUAAUAAUGAUUAUUUUUAGAGUAAAGUACAUCACUCACGGGUCCGGUCCUAAGAAAAUAUAUUUCACAGCUGUAUGUGUUGUCAUUAUUUAUAUAUGGGUUUUACAAGUUAAAAUCAUGGGAAUGCUAAACAACUACUAAACAAGAUUUAAGAGGUAGUUUUGCCAAAAACAACACCACAACAGCAAAGAGUACUAAAAUAUAAGCUCAACAAAAUUGGUUUCACAAUUUUAGCUUUUACCAAUAAAUUCUUACGAAUUUAUUAAGAGCUAGACCACACAAGGGAUACAUAUAGAUAUUUAUGUUUUUACUGGGAAAACCAGUACAAAAGUUGGUCAUUUUUAUUUUACAACAUUGAAUAUCACGUUUUUCUUAAUCCACAGAAAUUUUGUUCAGCUCAAACGGAAUUCAGAUGAAUUUUCUACACAUUUUUGAAUUUAGUACAAUUUCAGCGCAUGUUGAAAACAGUUUUCCAUUAAUAGUCCUCGAACUUCCUGGAUAUUACAGAGCGGUCAAGGCUACAGUGCUAUAUGUCUUGGUCUGUUUUUUUUUGGGAAAGAACCCUCAAGUUUAUCUAAUUCACCGAUGAGGUCCCUGGCUCGAGCUUACGGGGAGGCAGCCAUGACUGGGCUCAGUCUAGAGCUUGCCGGCAGCGAACAGAGGCUCGGAUGGGGUCGAGUUCAACAGAGAAACUGUAGAGGAGGUCCAUGCGAACACGGAGGUGUCCGUGCUGAUGAAAGAGGUGGUCUAUAGCUCGUGAAAAACAAGCUACAGCGGCGGUGGUUCUUGGAAUGUGCAUGCAUGUCGAGCUACAGUUCGGAAUGGGCUAUAUGGGUGCAUGCAUGGGUUGUUUAGGGGUAUGCAGUGUCUCACCGUGCAGCUGAAAGGGGUCGGAGAGGUCCAGGAAGCAGCGAUGGCGUUGGAGAUGCCCGGCAACACAACAAACACGAUGACGACCCGAGAACGACUAGAUCUGGCCAUAAAAACCCCAAAUAAACGUUUGAAUGAGCUAGAACAUUGCAUGCAGAGUCUUUUUGGCCAGGGUAAAGGAUCUGGAGCUCACCAAAUGGAGGAAAACAAAAUGCUGCUGCUGCCCUGCAGGCUGAAACCACCACUCUUUUAUUCCUUCUCGAUCUCUCUCAACUCUCCUUGCACAUUAUGUUGGGAUGGAUGGAAAGCUUGGAUGAUGGGGAUUGUUGUGGUCUAACAUGCAGGGAU
This 4029-nucleotide long non-coding RNA is filed under the name Oryza sativa (Asian cultivated rice). RNAcentral describes it as "long non-coding RNA (OSAT_LNC000356)". The record is from RNAcentral. Lineage: Eukaryota; Viridiplantae; Streptophyta; Magnoliopsida; Poales; Poaceae.